Molecule: long non-coding RNA, 355 nt
Organism: Thunnus maccoyii (southern bluefin tuna)
Lineage: Eukaryota; Metazoa; Chordata; Actinopteri; Scombriformes; Scombridae
Exons: 4
Source: RefSeq, a predicted model, not a curated record
AGUCAACAAAACGUCUUACAAUUUUUAAAAACAACUGGAAAAUGACGACUUCAUUAGAAAUAUGUUGAUCUAAGGAUCACAAAAAGACGAUUCAUGUCGGCACAAGCCCAUUUAUGCAGGGCCAACUUGGGCAAGCAUGUAACUUAACGUUAGUAUAUGAGGAGACGGAGUUUGACAUGCAUGCUAACAUUAGCCACCUAGCAAGGCCCUCGUUCUCUUCUGUCACUGCUGCAAGCUGGCUCUGAUCAAACUGUAGAGACUGGAUGGGCUUCCAUAUUGCUCAUCUGCUCCUGGACUCUCACUACCUCCUUCUGCAGCCGGGUCUGCUCCAACUCUGCCUUCUGCUUCUCCUCCU